This 758-nucleotide ribosomal RNA is filed under the name uncultured archaeon. RNAcentral describes it as "bacterial SSU rRNA". It matches the Rfam family "Archaeal small subunit ribosomal RNA", at positions 102 to 859 of the family's 1478-position model. The record is from RNAcentral.
GGAUAACUUACCCUUUAGGACUGGGAUAACUCUGGGAAACUGGGGAUAAUACUGGAUAUUAGGCUAUGCCUGGAAUGGUUUGCCUUUGAAAUGUUUUUUCGCCUAAGGAUAGGUCUGCGGCUGAUUAGGUCGUUGGUGGGGUAAUGGCCCACCAAGCCGAUGAUCGGUACGGGUUGUGAGAGCAAGGGCCCGGAGAUGGAACCUGAGACAAGGUUCCAGACCCUACGGGGUGCAGCAGGCGCGAAACCUCCGCAAUGUACGAAAGUGCGACGGGGGGAUCCCAAGUGUUAUACUUUUUUGUAUGACUUUUCAUUAGUGUAAAAAGCUUUUAGAAUAAGAGCUGGGCAAGACCGGUGCCAGCCGCCGCGGUAACACCGGCAGCUCGAGUGGUAGCUGUUUUUAUUGGGCCUAAAGCGUUCGUAGCCGGUUUGAUAAGUCUUUGGUGAAAGCUUGUAGCUUAACUAUAAGAAUUGCUGGAGAUACUAUUAGACUUGAAGUCGGGAGAGGUUAGAGGUACUACCGGGGUAGGGGUGAAAUCCUAUAAUCCUGGGAGGACCACCUGUGGCGAAGGCGUCUAACUGGAACGAUCUUGACGGUGAGUAACGAAAGCCAGGGGCGCGAACCGGAUUAGAUACCCGGGUAGUCCUGGCCGUAAACGAUGUGGACUUGGUGUUGGAAUGGCUUUGAGUUGUUCCGGUGCCGAAGGGAAGCUGUUAAGUCCACCGCCUGGGAAGUACGGUCGCAAGACUGAAACUUAA